This 1168-nucleotide long non-coding RNA is filed under the name Homo sapiens (human). Its description in RNAcentral is "long non-coding RNA NONHSAT169212.1". The record is from RNAcentral. Lineage: Eukaryota; Metazoa; Chordata; Mammalia; Primates; Hominidae.
AAACAGACUCUUGCAAGUUAUAGGAGCAAAGCUACUAAAGAAAGAGAUAAACUUUUGAAACAAGAAGAAAUGAAGUCACUGGCUUUUGAAAAGGCUAAAUUAAAAAGAGAAAAAGCAGAUGCCCUAGAAGCGAAGAAAAAAGAAAAAGAAGAUAAAGAGAAAAAGAGGGAAGAAUUGAAAAAAAUUGUUGAAGAAGAGAGACUAAAGAAAAAAGAAGAAAAAGAGAGGCUUAAAGUAGAAAGAGAAAAGGAAAGAGAGAAGUUACGUGAAGAAAAGCGAAAGUAUGUGGAAUACUUAAAACAGUGGAGUAAACCUAGAGAAGAUAUGGAAUGUGAUGACCUUAAGGAACUUCCAGAACCAACACCAGUGAAAACUAGACUACCUCCUGAAAUCUUUGGUGAUGCUCUGAUGGUUUUGGAGUUCCUUAAUGCAUUUGGGGAACUUUUUGAUCUUCAAGAUGAGUUUCCUGAUGGAGUAACCCUAGGCAAGUGCUUUAGAAGCUCUUGUAGGAAAUGACAGUGAAGGCCCACUGUGUGAAUUGCUUUUUUUCUUCCUGACUGCAAUCUUCCAGGCAAUAGCUGAAGAAGAAGAGGAAGUAGCCAAAGAGCAACUAACUGAUGCUGACACCAAAGAUUUAACAGAGGCUUUGGAUGAAGAUGCAGACCCCACAAAAUCUGCACUGUCUGCAGUUGCAUCUUUGGCAGCUGCAUGGCCACAGUUACACCAGGGCUGCAGUUUGAAAAGUUUGGAUCUUGAUAGCUGCACUCUUUCAGAAAUCCUCAGACUGCACAUCUUAGCUUCAGGUGCUGAUGUAACAUCAGCAAAUGCAAAGUAUAGAUAUCAAAAACGAGGAGGAUUUGAUGCUACAGAUGAUGCUUGUAUGGAGCUUCGUUUGAGCAAUCCCAGUCUAGUGAAGAAACUGUCAAGCACCUCAGUGUAUGAUUUGACACCAGGAGAAAAAAUGAAGAUACUCCAUGCUCUCUGUGGAAAGCUACUGACCCUAGUUUCAACUAGGGAUUUUAUUGAAGAUUAUGUUGAUAUAUUACGACAGGCAAAGCAGGAGUUCCGGGAAUUAAAAGCAGAACAACAUCGAAAAGAGAGGGAAGAAGCAGCUGCCAGAAUUCGUAAAAGGAAGGAAGAAAAACUUAAGGAGCAAGAACAAAAAAUG